Molecule: ribosomal RNA, 425 nt
Filed under: uncultured bacterium
Lineage: Bacteria
Description: partial 16S ribosomal RNA
Rfam family: Bacterial small subunit ribosomal RNA
Source: RNAcentral
GUGGGGAAUCUUGCGCAAUGGGCGAAAGCCUGACGCAGCCAUGCCGCGUGAAUGAUGAAGGUCUUAGGAUUGUAAAAUUCUUUCACCGGGGACGAUAAUGACGGUACCCGGAGAAGAAGCCCCGGCUAACUUCGUGCCAGCAGCCGCGGUAAUGCGAAGGGGGCUAGCGUUGCUCGGAAUUACUGGGCGUAAAGGGCGCGUAGGCGGACAGUUUAGUCAGAGGUGAAAGCCCAGGGCUCAACCUGGGAAUUGCCUUUGAUACUGGCUGUCUUGAGUACGGGAGAGGUGAGUGGAACUCCGAGUGUAGAGGUGAAAUUCGUAGAUAUUCGGAAGAACACCAGUGGCGAAGGCGACUCACUGGCCCGUUACUGACGCUGAGGCGCGAAAGCGUGGGGAGCAAACAGGAUUAGAAACCCGGGUAGUCC